CCACAAGAUGCACAUUGGAGCAAAUGUGCAGGUGCGAGUCCUUCCUUGCACCCUGUGAUAAUCUGACUUUUUUUUCCCUUUGUUUUAGUGGGAAGGAGCUCUGAAGCCCCGAGCUAGUGAAGCAAGCUGGUAGCAAGGAGGCUGCCGUGAGCUCCCUGGCGUGUUCAGCCAGUGCAGAUGGCGAAGUAUCCUCCUUGAAGAGUUGCCAAGACGUGGAUGGCAUUGCGAGUCUGGAGGUUUUCACAUUGGGGAGCACAGAAAACUCUCUGAGACUGUGGCCUAAGUGCACCAGCAACCUCCUAGACAGUAACUUUACAGCUGGCACUGGAGCCUGUUCUCAAGGUAGAAUGGUGCCCUGGAAGUUACGCCUGGACAGAGGUGGUGCAUCCUGCUCAGCCAUUUGCAGACUCAGCUCCUGACCGCGAAGCCUCCACCAACUUGGCACACCUCUCAGAACAGAGUCCGAGAGCCCCGUUCACCAGCCGCAGGGACAAAACGGUCGCCCCGUCUCAAAGAGCCCGCAGCUCCGAAGGAAGGGAUGGCGGCGGGCGCAGGUCAGUUCCCGACAGCCUCCUGUUGCGUGUUA
RNAcentral lists this long non-coding RNA (586 nucleotides) under Apteryx rowi (Okarito brown kiwi). RNAcentral's name for it is "lncRNA (ENSARWG00000018872.1)". The record is from RNAcentral. Lineage: Eukaryota; Metazoa; Chordata; Aves; Apterygiformes; Apterygidae.